GGGAAUGUCGUCUAACGGUUAGGACCUUUGAUUUUUAAUCAAACUAUACUGGUUCAAUUCCAGUCGUUCUCA
Molecule: transfer RNA, 72 nt
Filed under: Insectozyma prachuapensis
Lineage: Eukaryota; Fungi; Ascomycota; Pichiomycetes; Serinales; Debaryomycetaceae
Description: Candida prachuapensis tRNA-Lys
Rfam family: tRNA
About the family: Transfer RNA (tRNA) molecules are approximately 80 nucleotides in length. Their secondary structure includes four short double-helical elements and three loops (D, anti-codon, and T loops).
Source: RNAcentral